Molecule: RNA transcript, 1240 nt
Organism: Carlito syrichta (Philippine tarsier)
Lineage: Eukaryota; Metazoa; Chordata; Mammalia; Primates; Tarsiidae
Gene name: serine/threonine-protein kinase VRK1 pseudogene
Exons: 1
Source: RefSeq, a predicted model, not a curated record
CGAAAGCGGCGGGAAGUUCGUACUGGGCGGAAGGCGGCGUUCCUGCGGCUGGGGUGAAAAUGCCUCGUGUAAAAACAGCUCAAGCUGGGAGACAGGGCCCUGCAGAGAGACAUCUUGCAGAACAAUUUGCUGUUGGGGAGAUACUAACUGACAUGGCAAAGAAGGAGUGGAAAGUAGGAUUGCCCAUCGGCCAAGGUGGCUUUGGCCGUCUCUAACUUGCUGAUAUGAAUUCUUCAAAAUCGGUUGGCAGCGAUGCACCCUGUGUUGUAAAAGUGGAACCCAGUGACAGGGGACCUCUUUUUACUGAAUUAAAGUUCUGCCAGCGAGCUUGUAAGUCAGAGCAGAUUCAAAAAUGGAUGCGUGCCCAUAAACUGAAGUACCUGGGUACUCCUAAGUAUUGGGGGUCUGGUCUACAUGAUAAGAAUGGAAAAAGUUACAGGUUUAUGAUAAUGGAUCGCUUUGGGAGUGACCUUCAGAAAAUAUAUGAAACAAACGCCAAAAGGUUUUCUCGGAAAACUGUCUUGCAGCUGAGUUUAAGAAUUCUGGAUAUUGUGGAAUAGAUUCACGAGCACGAGUAUGUGCAUGGAGACAUCAAGCCCUCAAAUCUUCUGAGCCACAAGAAUCCCGACCAGGUGUACUUGGUCGAUUAUGGACUUGCUUAUCGGUACUGCCCAGAAGGAAUUCAUAAAAAGUACAAAGAAGACCCCAAAAGGUGUCACGAUGGCACUAUUGAAUUCACCAGCAUUGACACACACAAUGGUCUGGCCCCAUCAAGACGUGGUGAUCUGGAAAUCCUUGGUUAUUGCAUGAUCCAGUGGCUUACGGGCCAUUUUCCUUGGGAGCAUAAUUUGAAAGAUCCUAAAUACGUCAGAGAUUCCAAAAUUAGAUACAGAGAAAAUAUUGCAAGUUUGAUGGACAAAUGUUUUCCCGAGAAAAACAAUCCAGGUGAAAUUGCUAAAUACAUGGAAACAGUGAAAUUACUAGACUAUACUGAAAACCUCUUUAUCAGAAUUUGCAAGAUAUUCUUUUGCAGGGACUAAAAGCCAUAGGAAGUAAGGAUGAUGGCAAACUGGACCCCAGUGUUGUGGAGAAUGGAGGUUUGAAAGCAAAAACAAUGACUAAGCGAAAGAAAGAAAUUGAAGAAAGCACAGAAUCUAGUGUUGAAGAUAUGGAAUGCUCAAAUGCUCAGACAGAGACCACUCAAACUCGUUCAAGAACCAGAAGGAGAGUCCAGAAGUAA